This is a non-coding RNA of Camellia sinensis, 3284 nucleotides long. NCBI's taxonomy places the organism in Eukaryota, Viridiplantae, Streptophyta, Magnoliopsida, Ericales, Theaceae. The record is from RefSeq and is a predicted model, not a curated record.
CGUCGUAAAAGACUUAUUUUUUUGAGACGGCUUUCUAUCCCCAUCGCAAAAAGAUUUCUUUUGCCAUGGCCUUUGUUGUCGUGGCUAAUGGACCCAAAAAAAAACGCUUCUUAUUCUCUCUCUAUCACGCUUGUGUUUCUGUGUCACACCCUCCUUCUCCUUCGCCCCCUUCUCUCUCUCUCUCUCUCUCUCCACUGCCGUUGGUACAUGAGCACAUGACGACCACCGCCAUUGAUAUCACCAUUGCAAACUAGCAACCAUUCUCUGAAAUCGAGGAGACGCAAUAGAAGGAGUUUGACAUUGAGAUCGCUGGCCAAAGUUAGAGGCUAGAAUCGACAGAGGCGGCAAUUGAGAUGCGUAGUAGGGGCGGAAUGUAAACUCAAAAACAAAAACAAAAACUCUAUUCGAUUCAUCUAAAAUUCUCAUUUUCUCCGAAAUGGGGUUGUGGGAUUCCCUCCUCAAUUGGCUCUGCAGGUAUACCCCCUCCAUGUCUAGUACACAGCUUUUUCCAGAAAUGCAGCGGAACCAAUAUUUGGAAAAUGAUCGUGUUUGUUUGGAUGGACAUCGAGAUUCAUUCCACUGCUCAAAUUUUUGGGACGUGGAUUGGCUUUCUUCAUCGGGAAAUUCAUGUGAAGAAGAAACUUAUGAACGGUGAUUUUUAAGAUUCUGUUUAAGUAAUGAUUCAUGUAAUGUUGUUUUGAAAUAAGCUUAAAGUUCAAUAUUUUAAUUGCUGUCAUCAUCAGCACCACUUCAUUUAUUUAGUGUCUGUCACUGCCAAGGGCCACCUCUUUUUUUUCCUCUACUAUCAUCGCCAUCAUCACCACACCUAUACCCUUUGUCAGCCAUCAACAACUUUGUGAACAAACAUUCUUUCACCCUUCAUCUUUAAUAAGAGAAAAAUACUACUUUCACAUAGUAAUUUACUGUAACAACAGGAACCAAACCAAACCAAACCAAACCAAAUUAAGCCUUGUGUCCCAAUCAAGUUGGGUUGCUACAUGAAUCAUUUUUAUCAUGCUGCUCUGUCAAGGGUUAUAGACUCAGUUAAAUUAAAUAAAUUCAUGCCCUUUCGUUGACAUCUUCAUUUGUUCAUAAAAGUUGUCAUCAAAUAUGUGUGUAUAUUGAUGCAGAUGCACAAAUAUGACCACUAUCAUUCAUAUCUGUAGAUAUUAUACUUCCCUUGUCAUGUUCUUAAAUUCAUACAAAUCCACACGACCUUCCUUGCCAUGUUCUGUGGUUUGAACCGUGGAUUUAAUAGCUGCAGAUCUAUGCUCAUAAGCUCUCCUAUUACCGGUACAUCAUCAGGUAACGUUGUUACUGGACUUAAAAUGGAGUCAAGUGCUUCUGCUAGUACAUCUGGGUCCAGCAUGAAGGUCAGUAAUAUAUUGAAUCUUUCUAGUGGCACUGUCAUGACAUGGUAUACUUGUCAAUCAGAAAAUAUGCCAUGCAUACAUAUUUGACAACUAUGGUUCACAGGUAUAGGCAAAGUAGAAUAGAAUAGCAUUAACUUGCCCUAUUAUUUUUUCCUCGUGUUUGUGCUUGUGAAUCUUAGAUUUGGAUCUUGUCAGUUACAACUGUUUACUUUUAUUGCCAUAUCUUACUUCCUUGUCUUGCUUUCUUUGUUGACUAACUGACCUUAGAUGCAUUGUUCCUUUUGGAUUUAAAUUUUCUUGGCUUUUUUUUUGUAUUUGUUUUUGGUCAGCAUUUUCAUGGCGUUGAUACACUUUGCACAUUAUGAUGAUCCCAUUUCUAAUGUAUUUUUAAUUAUUUUUUUUAGUCAACCAAACAUGGGAAUUGACAUUUUGAUGGAAUGACUUUUUAUUGCACUUCAUUCCAGUGAUCAGUGAACCAAACACUACCUCAAUUCUUCAACAUUUCCAUGUGAAAAUCUAAAGUGAGGAGGAGCAUUGGAUCUUCAAUCAGGCUGUAGAGGUUUUCUCAGAUGGGAGUGAGCAAGCUGGAGUAUGAUCUGGUUUUGUGUUGUUUUUUCCUUGCUACGUUGGUUCCUCACCAACUCUUGAUGGUGUGCUAGUGUGCUUAUCGGUGCCAACCUCGUUCCUCGGCUCAAUUUAUCCAUCAAUUCAAUCUCAAACCCUUCAAAUCCCAAACUCAACAGGGUAAGGGAAACUACCCAUUUCCUCAUUCUCUCUCUUCAUCAUUCUUCUUUUAGUAGGUUUGAUAAAUUAGUACUUCUCUGGCAAAUCCAUUUCUAUGACUUUGUAAUGUUACUAGAAAUUAUGUUUGUAUAUGCGAUUCUGAAAUAAUAUGUAAAUGGUCUGAAUUAGUGUGUAAUAGAAACCCUAAUACUUUAAUUGGAACAAAACUUAAAAUGUAAUUCAAAAUAGAUUAUACAAACCCAAUUUGGGAAUUCAAUAUUAUAGUGUUUCUUACCUCUAUGUAAUUUAAUUGUUAUUAAUAGACAUUGGAUUGUAAAAAUAUUUUCAAUAAUGGGUUCGUAUUUAAAUAUAAUGAUUUUAUUGUGUAAUAUGGCACUAGUUUGUUUAACCAUUCUUAAUAAUUAAUAUUCACACAUUGUGAUAUUGAUCUUAUAAGUUUUUCUGGCAUUAUCAUAACAAAAUAUUGAGAACCGAUUGACACACUAAAAUACAUAAACGGUGUCGGAUGUCAACGAAACUUGACACACACAAUUAGCUAGGCAUAAAUGACAUAUAGGAAAAGACGGGACUCAAAACUAACUCUCGGUUUUGAAUCUAGAGCCUAAUUCCCAUUUGUGAAAAUUGUCCUUUAAAAACUCUUUUUCAGAAACGGUUGACAUAAUAAAAUGGUCAAACGGUGUUGGAUGUCAGUAAAACUUGACAAACAUGACUAAAUAGACACAAAUGACUUGUAGGAAAAGACAGGACUCAAAACCGAUUCCCGAUUUUGAAUCUAGAGCCUAUUUUCCGUUUGUGAAAACUUGCUUUUUAGAAACUCUUUUUCCGAACCAGUUGACUCGCUAAAAUGCUCAAACGGCGUCGGAUGUCAAUGAAACUUGACACACACGACUAACUAGACACAAAUGAUUUGUAAGAAAAGACAGGACUUGAAACCGAUUCCUUAUUUUGAAUCUGGAGCCUAAGUUCCGUUUGUGAAUACUUAUCCUUUAGAAACUCUUUUUCGAACACACACUAAAAUGGUCAAACAACAUCGGAUGUCAACGAAACUUGACACACUUGACUAAUUAGGCACAAAUGAGUUGUAGAAAAAGACGGGACUCGAAACCGAUUCCCGUUUUCUGAUUUUGAAUCUAGAGCCUAAUUCUCGUUUGUGAAAACUUGUCCUUU